GAUGAACGCUGGCGGCGUGCCUAAUACAUGCAAGUCGAGCGAACAGAUGAGGAGCUUGCUCCUCUGACGUUAGCGGCGGACGGGUGAGUAACACGUGGAUAACCUACCUAUAAGACUGGGAUAACUUCGGGAAACCGGAGCUAAUACCAGAUAAUAUAUUGAACCGCAUGGUUCAAUAGUGAAAGACGGUUUUGCUGUCACUUAUAGAUGGAUCCGCGCCGCAUUAGCUAGUUGGUAAGGUAACGGCUUACCAAGGCGACGAUGCGUAGCCGACCUGAGAGGGUGAUCGGCCACACUGGAGCUGAGAGACGGUCCAGACUCCUACGGGAGGCAGCAGUAGGGAAUCUUCCGCAAUGGGCGAAAGCCUGACGGAGCAACGCCGCGUGAGUGAUGAAGGUCUUCGGAUCGUAAAACUCUGUUAUUAGGGAAGAACAAAUGUGUAAGUAACUAUGCACGUCUUGACGGUACCUAAUCAGAAAGCCACGGCUAACUACGUG
Molecule: ribosomal RNA, 497 nt
Filed under: uncultured bacterium
Lineage: Bacteria
Description: partial 16S ribosomal RNA
Rfam family: Bacterial small subunit ribosomal RNA
Source: RNAcentral